Molecule: long non-coding RNA, 639 nt
Organism: Scleropages formosus (Asian bonytongue)
Lineage: Eukaryota; Metazoa; Chordata; Actinopteri; Osteoglossiformes; Osteoglossidae
Exons: 4
Source: RefSeq, a predicted model, not a curated record
CUCUGUCACAGAGACAGGAGCGGCCAAACGAAGAGACACGGGGCGGGUAUCGCGUGUGGACGCCACUCAUAGACCAACAAUACAGCAGGGAGUCCAGCUUCACUCCCAGGACUCAGCCAGCCUUCCUGAUUAACUCGCUGAGUCUCUUAGCAUCUGCUGUGGUGAUGCUACUACCCCUGCAUCCCACUGUACAAAAGAUUACACCAGAAACAGCUGAUUGGUAGAACAUCUACAGAGUCCUGCACACUGCAAAGUACCUGACCAUCUCAGAAGUCUGGUGUUUGCAGGUACUCGGGGUCCACGCUGGGCCAGGGCUGCUGGAGAACAUCACCCCUUACAGAUAGCAGCGCACUUAAGGGGUUCUGCAUGCAGGACAGGCCUGGAAAACAUGGAGAUCAAAGACAGAGCACCUCACCUGCCCAGAGUUCUGAUGCCAAGUGGGGUGCCAUGGGGGCCGUCAUCACACAGAGCACAGCCAGAGCCUCUUCAAACUCCAUGCUGUGCAGUACCACACGAGGGGAGCUUUGCUGGUACAUCAAUUUUGGGCACAAAACAAGAAGUCACAAGCAGUUCCCAGGAGCAGUGAAAAUUUUUACGACAAAUUCUUUACUAAAAACUAAACUUUACUAAACACCACAA